This is a long non-coding RNA of Malurus melanocephalus (red-backed fairy wren), 410 nucleotides long. RefSeq lists it as uncharacterized. The record is from RefSeq and is a predicted model, not a curated record. Lineage: Eukaryota; Metazoa; Chordata; Aves; Passeriformes; Maluridae. The transcript is spliced from 3 exons.
GUACGGAAGAGAGCCAGUGAUGAUAUGCUGUCAAGGUAAAAUGACUUUGCUCAGAAAAGGGGAAUAUUUGGAGUUCCUAUUUCAAUGAAUAACAUCACUGGAACAUUCACCCCAUCAGGCAGACCUGGAAAACAAGCUUUCAGAAGGUCAUCAGCUCACGCUUGUAACCUUGCUGCCAUUUGUCUGUUCAAAUGUUUGGAGAUUGGAACAUAUAAUUAGAUUUCUCUCACAAAAGAAAAAGUGGAUUGUUCUUCUCGACAAUCUCUCUGUCGUCUUGGGAGAAGAAGAGAACAAGCAGUAGUCACCUGGACUGGAAAUCCCAUAUACACAUACUCCUUUGUAUUUCUUGAAAACCCUUAUGUUACUGUGGAGUCUUGCUGUUAGAAGGGGACCCAAAGGAAUUCUUUUGC